This 45-nucleotide non-coding RNA is filed under the name Schistosoma curassoni. Lineage: Eukaryota; Metazoa; Platyhelminthes; Trematoda; Strigeidida; Schistosomatidae. The record is from RNAcentral.
ACUCAAAUGAUGAGUCCUAAAUAGGACGAAACAUGCAUCCUGAAU